UACAGAGGUGGCAAGCGUUGUUCGGAAUUACUGGGCGUAAAGGGCGCGUAGGCGGCCUUGUAAGUCCUGUGUGAAAUCCCCCGGCUCAACUGGGGAACUGCACAGGAGACUGCUUGGCUUGAGUUCGGGAGAGGGAUGCAGAAUUCCAGGUGUAGCGGUGAAAUGCGUAGAUAUCUGGAGGAAUACCGGUGGCGAAGGCGGCAUCCUGGACCGACAUUGACGCUGAACGGCGAAAGCUAGGGGAGCAAACGGG
This 253-nucleotide ribosomal RNA is filed under the name uncultured bacterium. RNAcentral describes it as "partial 16S ribosomal RNA". It matches the Rfam family "Bacterial small subunit ribosomal RNA", at positions 524 to 776 of the family's 1533-position model. The record is from RNAcentral.